This 1138-nucleotide ribosomal RNA is filed under the name Cutibacterium acnes. Its description in RNAcentral is "partial 23S ribosomal RNA". It matches the Rfam family "Bacterial large subunit ribosomal RNA", at positions 980 to 1992 of the family's 2925-position model. The record is from RNAcentral. Lineage: Bacteria; Bacillati; Actinomycetota; Actinomycetes; Propionibacteriales; Propionibacteriaceae.
GCAGUGAGACAGUGGGGGAUAAGCUUCAUUGUCGAGAGGGAAACAGCCCAGACCAUCAACUAAGGCCCCUAAGCGUGUGCUAAGUGGGAAAGGAUGUGGAGUUGCUGAGACAACCAGGAGGUUGGCUUAGAAGCAGCCAUCCUUGAAAGAGUGCGUAAUAGCUCACUGGUCAAGUGAUUCUGCGCCGAUAAUGUAGCGGGGCUCAAGUACACCGCCGAAGUUGUGGCAAUCAGUCUUUGUGGCUGGUUGGGUAGGGGAGCGUCCUGCACGAGGUGAAGCUGCCACGGGAGUGUGUGGUGGAUUGUGUGGGAGUGAGAAUGCAGGCAUGAGUAGCGAAUCACGGGUGAGAAACCCGUGCGCCGGAUGAUCAAGGGUUCCAGGGUCAAGUUAAUCUGCCCUGGGUUAGUCGGGGCCUAAGGCGAGGCCGACAGGCGUAGUCGAUGGAGAACGGGUUGAUAUUCCCGUACCAGUGAAGGACCGUCCAUACUGAUAUUGUGAUGCUAACCAUGCCGAUCACGGUGUCAUGAAGUUUUUCUUUGUGGUGUUGUGGGGUGUGUGGGACCCAAGCUUUGGAGGUAAGCGUGUUAACAGGUGUGACGCAGGAAGGUAGCCAAGCCACGCGGUGGUUGUCGUGGUCUAAGCGUGUAGGAUGACUGGUUGUUAAAUGCGCCGGUUGUGUGUCUGAGACGUGAUGGGACCCCUUGUUUGUGGGGGAUUUGGUGAUCCUAUGCUGCCGAGAAAAGCAUCGGCGUGAGGUUUUAGCUGCCCGUACCCGAAACCGACACAGGUGAUCAGGUAGAGAAUACUAAGGCGAUCGAGAGAAUCAUGGUUAAGGAACUCGGCAAAAUGCCCCCGUAACUUCGGGAGAAGGGGGGCCCUGAGCGUGAUCUGCCCGUGCGGUGGGGAGCGUGUAGGGGUCGCAGAGACCAGGGGGAAGCGACUGUUUAUCAAAAACACAGGUCCGUGCGAAGUCGUAAGACGAGGUAUACGGACUGACUCCUGCCCGGUGCUGGAAGGUUAAGAGGAUUGGUUAGCCCUGUGUGGGCGAAGCUGAGAAUUUAAGCCCCAGUAAACGGCGGUGGUAACUAUAACCAUCCUAAGGUAGCGAAAUUCCUUGUCGGGUAAGUUCCGACCUGCA